This 344-nucleotide ribosomal RNA is filed under the name uncultured bacterium. RNAcentral's name for it is "partial 16S ribosomal RNA". It matches the Rfam family "Bacterial small subunit ribosomal RNA", at positions 338 to 679 of the family's 1533-position model. The record is from RNAcentral.
CCUACGGGUGGCAGCAGUGAGGAAUAGUGGGCAAUGGGCGCGAGCCUGAACCAGCCAAGUAGCGUGAAGGAUGAAGGCCCGACGGGUUGUAAACGUCUUUUAUAAAGGAAUAAAGUGAGGCACGUGGGCCGUGUUGGAUGGACGUUAUGAAUAAGGAGCGGCUAACUCCGUGCCAGCAGCCGCGGUAAUACGGAGGAACCGAGCGUUAUCCGGAUUUAUUGGGUUUAAAGGGAGCGUAGAUGGGUUGUUAAGUCAGUUGUGAAAGUUUGCGGCUCCACCGUAAAAUUGCAAUUGAUACUGGCAGCCUUGUGUUCAGUUGAGGUAGGCGGCAUUCGUCGUGUAGC